This 263-nucleotide unclassified non-coding RNA is filed under the name Hevea brasiliensis (rubber tree). Lineage: Eukaryota; Viridiplantae; Streptophyta; Magnoliopsida; Malpighiales; Euphorbiaceae. The record is from RNAcentral.
UGCGCUGCCCAGUGAAGAACAUUUCUUCUUUUUCCAUCUUUUAACUGCAUGAGCUCUGGAUUUACCUUUGCCAUCUCUUCUAGCAUAUCUAUUUUUCCUUCAAUAAUGGUAGCAUGAGCUGGUGGGUUUCCUUCAAGCUUAUUAACUAAAUCACUAUGCCCUGUUGGAGCUUGCAGAAGCAAUCGAAAAAUCUGAAAGUCGCCUAUUUUGACAGCCAUAUAGAGAGGAGACCAGCCUUCCUUGUUCUGAUAAUACCACACUUG